UUGAACGCCAGUCAGUUGGAGUGUGAACUGCGUAGAAGAUCAUCGGAACACUUUCUCCGAUUUCAAACGUAAAAUGCCUUCGAGAUUUCGGUAAUCAAGUCAAAACUGCUGCAGCAGAAGCGGUGAUGUACCAUGAGGCCGGUCUAUGAGAUGUGAUAGCGAGAAUGGUUGGUGUCAGUCUGCACAAGGACGAGGACGCAGUGCUAAGUUUGCACCGAUAGAAUGACCAAUUGCAUUCCUCGCGACUGACUCGCGGCAUCAUUCCAUCGAUGUAACAAGUCCCCUGUCCUACUUCUCCAACCCACGGGACGAGGCCGCCAUGGAGACGAAUGUUAACUGUGGUCCAAGGGCACUCGUAUAUCAGGAUGAAUACGUGUAACAGUUUUAAAUGCCCUAGGAUAGAGUGUUCCGGGAAAGAAUGAUUGAUUUGCGCUUGAAGGUCAAGAGUCUCAGUAGACCCAUACCUUCGCCUGACAACAAUGAAUUGUGAAGGACCCUUUUUCCAGAUGAACAUUCAAAAUUGCUACACCGGUACGCGUGCCACCUGUUGCCGGAGUUAGAGCCUGCUGAUCUUCUUGUUGGAACAAUCUUGUGUAAAACAUCUCUCAAUAAUGUUUGUAUAUCGACAGAUCAAGACACCAUUGUGUCAGUAAGAUGAAUAUUUGAAUUUGUCCUGAACAUAUAUCAAAUAACGAAUGGAAAGUUUCACAAGAAAGGUUGUUGUUUGUACAUUUCAUCAUAAGGCCCCGUUCAUGAUCCAUGACAACAUUUGACAAUGGAGACAAUUUUCAUUUGAGAUUGAACAUCCUCGUCGGCCAUUGCGACAUUUGCGGUCGGAUUCAAAUACGAUUCACAUUGUCACGAUGUCGUGUUUCUCAUGUCACUGGCCUAAUAUCAUCGUACAAUGUGGCGCAUUAUCGCCCACUGCUGGGACUUUGUCUUGGCACGAUCUUCACUUUGGAAUAAACUGAUCAGUUCAGGGCAGCCUAACAUGUCAUAUGAGUUGUCUGUCCUAUUCAUAAACUACACAAACUUGAUCUUUAUUAUGCACUCAGCAGAUUAAAUCCAAUACUUGAAUAAAUUUCAAUAAAUUUCGUGUUUGA
Molecule: long non-coding RNA, 1103 nt
Organism: Lineus longissimus
Lineage: Eukaryota; Metazoa; Nemertea; Pilidiophora; Heteronemertea; Lineidae
Exons: 3
Source: RefSeq, a predicted model, not a curated record